Molecule: ribosomal RNA, 492 nt
Filed under: uncultured bacterium
Lineage: Bacteria
Description: partial 16S ribosomal RNA
Rfam family: Bacterial small subunit ribosomal RNA
Source: RNAcentral
AGUGAACGCCGGCGGUAGGCCUAACACAUGCAAGUCGAACGGCAGCACAGUAAGAGCUUGCUCUUACGGGUGGCGAGUGGCGGACGGGUGAGGAAUACAUCGGAAUCUACUUUUUCGUGGGGGAUAACGUAGGGAAACUUACGCUAAUACCGCAUACGACCUACGGGUGAAAGCAGGGGAUCUUCGGACCUUGCGCGAUUGAAUGAGCCGAUGUCGGAUUAGCUAGUUGGCGGGGUAAAGGCCCACCAAGGCGACGAUCCGUAGCUGGUCUGAGAGGAUGAUCGGCAACGCUGGAACUGAGACACGGUCCAGACUCCUACGGGAGGAAGCAGUGGGGAAUAUUGGACAAUGGGCGCAAGCCUGAUCCAGCCAUACCGCGUGGGUGAAGAAGGCCUUCGGGUUGUAAAGCCCUUUUGUUGGGAAAGAAAAGCAGCAGGUUAAUACCACGCUGUUCUGACGGUACCCAAAGAAUAAGCACCGGCUAACUUCGUG